UGCACUCCAGCCUGGGUGGCAGAGCCAGACUCCAUCUCAAAAACGAAAAACCAAACAACCCACAAACACCUGCAGAAAGAGGUUCCCAGACUUCAGUUGCUUUGAUUCAUGCAUCUGGAUGAAGCAAAAAGAAAAUGUGACAACUUGUCACUGCAAGAACUUAAAAACACCCUCCAGUGGGGCUGCACCAGGCCACCUCACUUUAGAGUGUGCACAGCUUCCCAUCAGAGAUAAAAGCUGUGACUCCAGGCUCCUAAAUACCUUUUUGAUAAGGGCUUUCCUUUUGGCCACCAGCAGAUGAUCGGGUGAUGGUGUUACUACUGCCAACUCCUACAGAGCCCAAGCCCAUGAGAUCUUUUAGACGUUCAUUCUUUGCAGCUUAAAAAAAUAAUAAUUUAAAAAAUUUUCCCCUUCUCAUUUGGAAAGUUUGUGUAUUUUCUAAUUUUUCUCGAAUGAGAAAAGGGUGCUGACAUGCCUAGGUUUAAGUGGAAAUGCGGGGCCAGUUAACACAGGACUCCUCACAGGACGCCUUAUGUCACUGGCAAAACACGAGGAAGAGAGAAAUAUAAUAAAUAAAGAAACAAACAAAA
Long non-coding RNA from Homo sapiens (human), 590 nucleotides. RefSeq lists it as uncharacterized. The transcript has 2 exons. NCBI's taxonomy places the organism in Eukaryota, Metazoa, Chordata, Mammalia, Primates, Hominidae. The record is from RefSeq and is a predicted model, not a curated record.